GCCCUAGAAUACCAAGGCGAUCGGGUGAACUGUGGUUAAGGAACUCGGCAAAUUGCCCCCGUAACUUCGGGAGAAGGGGGACCUCUGCUGGUGAUGGGCUUUACGUUCUGAGCUGGUGGGGGUCGCAGUGGCCAGGGGGAAGCGACUGUUUAUUAAAAACACAGGUCCGUGCGAAGUCGUAAGACGAUGUAUACGGACUGACGCCUGCCCGGUGCCGGAACGUUAAGGGGACCGCUUAGCCAACGCGAGUUGGCGAAGGUGAGAACUUAAGCGCCGGUAAACGGCGGUGGUAACUAUAACCAUCCUAAGGUAGCGAAAUUCCUUGUCGGGUAAGUUCCGACCUGCACGAAUGGCGUAACGACUUCCCCGCUGUCUCAACCACAGACCCGGCGAAAUUGCACUACGAGUAAAGAUGCUCGUUUCGCGCAGCAGGACGGAAAGACCCCGGGACCUUCACUACAGCUUGACAUUGGCGUUUGGAACGUCUUGUGUAGGAUAGGUGGGAGACUGGGAAGCUGUCACGCUAGUGAUGGUGGAGUCAUUGGUGAAAUACCACUCUGGUCGUUUUGAACGUCUAACUCUGGUCCGUGAUCCGGAUCGGGGACAGUGUCUGGUGGGUAGUUUAACUGGGGCGGUUGCCUCCUAAAGAGUAACGGAGGCGCCCAAAGGUUCCCUCAGCCUGGUUGGCAAUCAGGUGUUGAGUGUAAGUGCACAAGGGAGCUUGACUGUGAGACUGACAGGUCGAGCAGGAGCGAAAGCUGGGACUAGUGAUCCGGCAUCGGCGUGUGGAAGCGGUGUCGCUCAAUGGCUAAAAGGUACCCCGGGGAUAACAGGCUGAUCUUCCCCAAGAGUCCAUAUCGACGGGAUGGUUUGGCACCUCGAUGUCGGCUCGUCGCAUCCUGGGGCUGGAGUAGGUCCCAAGGGUUGGGCUGUUCGCCCAUUAAAGCGGUACGCGAGCUGGGUUUAGAACGUCGCGAGACAGUUCGGUCCCUAUCCGCUGCGCGCGCAGGAGACUUGAAGGGGGCUGUCCCUAGUACGAGAGGACCGGGACGGACGAACCUCUGGUGUGCCAGUUGUACCGCCAGGUGCACGGCUGGUUGGCUACGUUCGGAAGGGAUAACCGCUGAAAGCAUCUAAGCGGGAAGCUCGCCUUGAGAUGAGGUCUCCCACCCUGUGAGGGGGUAAGGCUCCCGGUAGAUCACCGGGUUGAUAGGCCGGAGGUGGAAGCACGGUAACGUGUGGAGCUGACCGGUACUAAUAGGCCGAGGACUUGACCAA
This 1278-nucleotide ribosomal RNA is filed under the name metagenome. Its description in RNAcentral is "bacterial LSU rRNA". It matches the Rfam family "Bacterial large subunit ribosomal RNA", at positions 1671 to 2925 of the family's 2925-position model. The record is from RNAcentral.